Molecule: long non-coding RNA, 224 nt
Filed under: Gossypium barbadense (sea-island cotton)
Lineage: Eukaryota; Viridiplantae; Streptophyta; Magnoliopsida; Malvales; Malvaceae
Description: long non-coding RNA (GBAR_LNC017914)
Source: RNAcentral
CCCAUUCAAUAUAUAUAUUCCUGACUAUAUAUAAAAAAAUAACACAAGUAAAGUAAUUAAACAGAUCAAAAACUGCAAACAAGCUAUAAAUGAUGAAAAUUGAAAACCCUUUUUUUCUAUAUGAUUCUAAUGGUGACAUUUCUAAGUGUAGCUCAAAGAUUUGCAUUAACUAUGCAUCUUUAGCUCAUAGACUUUGUGCUAAACUUCAUUCAAUGAAGAAAGAU